Molecule: long non-coding RNA, 524 nt
Organism: Photinus pyralis (common eastern firefly)
Lineage: Eukaryota; Metazoa; Arthropoda; Insecta; Coleoptera; Lampyridae
Exons: 3
Source: RefSeq, a predicted model, not a curated record
AUUUCCAAUGCGGCGAAAGACCUAAAAGCCCCAUCUUCAGGUACUUCGCAAAAAUUCACGAAGUUUUACAGGGGAGGUAAGCGAUCCUUUCCGACAACACGACAAACUUUGUCGGAAAACAGACAACGCCCGAUCCGUCGUCCGGGGAACACAGAUCAGCGCAAGGGGCACCCCAAAAAGGAGUGGACGAGCCAACGGGACCGAUUUCAAAGGAGAACGUAAACAAGGUUCAUGAGCUGUCGAGACUAGGUGGUACCGAGGAAUAUAGUUUCGUAGCCAGAACAUUAGGGAGACUAAUAACCAACAAACUGGCUAGUGAGUUUAGUUAUCUGGGAAAGCGAACCAAAAAACCAUUUAACAAAUUAACAUUAAAUAAACUUGUAAUAGAAGCUGGGAUGCUACUAUUCAAAAACAGUUCCCAAGACAUUUUUGAGAAAGCAAUUUCAAAAUGGCUUAAAAGAGCAAAGGAAAGGAAAUGAAUUUUUUGUUACAUUGUUUUAUAUCUUGGACGUUUAGAUUUUGAA